Helianthus annuus (common sunflower) is the source of this 976-nucleotide long non-coding RNA. RefSeq lists it as uncharacterized. The record is from RefSeq and is a predicted model, not a curated record. The transcript has 3 exons. Lineage: Eukaryota; Viridiplantae; Streptophyta; Magnoliopsida; Asterales; Asteraceae.
UCUGUAACCAGAAAGACAUUACCAUAAUUUUUCUGGUAAUACUAACAAUUGGUUAGAGUAUGAGUAAUGCUUAAGAAAUUACUCAAGUCAAAACGCAUUGAGUUUAGAACUCAAUGAACUAUGUAAGAAAAGGUUUCGAGGACGAAACCUCUUUAAGGGGGGUAGACUUGUAACACCCCGAAAACGGGUUUAGUAAUUAAACCUCGUUAAUACAAAAGAGUGGGUAAAAUACCGUUAGUGGUAAAAUUUAACCGGUAAAUAUUAGGAUUUAAAUAAUUAAUCCUAAUAUUAAACAAAAAGUCAAUAAAAGCUUUUAGGAAAUAAAAGCUUAGAAGGCCCGAGUUAACGGGACUUAAAUUAAACUUAGUCAUAAAUAUUCCCGAACCCGCUAAGCUAACUAGGAAUGCUUGACCCGGUUAAUAAAAGGGAAUAUGGAUUGUAAAUAAGUAGGUUAUAAUCAACUUAAUAACUAACGAAACAUGAAGGACCAAAGUUGGAUAAUUGGAAAUAAGGUUUAUUUACUAAAAACAAAAAUAAAAACACACCACACCUAGUGUGUGCGUGUGUGAGGUCGACCAGGAGAAAGCUCAGGGAGCUCAAACCCUAACUUCCACAACUUGAUCAAAUUGAAGCCCAAAUCAAGAGCCAAAUCACUGCAUGAACACAAAUUCGUGAUCACCUAAUCAUGGGGAUUACAAGUUUGACGCGUCACAAGCUAGGUGGAAGCUUGGAGUGAAAGCGGGUCAAACAAGGCAAGCAUGGAAGAAAGGCGUAGCUCGGAUGCAAUGUACUUGUGGAAGCCGGAAGACGAUCAAGCUCAACGAAGAACCGAACACGAUACAGUUACAUGCUUCCGCACUUCGCCACGUUGUGAAUUUUAAACAACGAACUUCGAUCACGUUAUGUAGAAUAAUUUAUAAUUUGUAAAAGUUUUGAAUAAACCCGCAUUUAUAUAAUAUGUGUGGUCUUAACUACA